Molecule: ribosomal RNA, 253 nt
Filed under: uncultured bacterium
Lineage: Bacteria
Description: partial 16S ribosomal RNA
Rfam family: Bacterial small subunit ribosomal RNA
Source: RNAcentral
UACGUAGGGGGCUAGCGUUGUCCGGAUUUAUUGGGCGUAAAGAGCGUGUAGGCGGCCAGGUAGGUCUGCUGUGAAAACUCGAGGCUUAACCUCGAGAUGUCGGCGGAAACCAUCUGGCUAGAGUCCGGAAGAGGAGAGUGGAAUUCCUGGUGUAGCGGUGAAAUGCGCAGAUAUCAGGAAGAACACCCGUGGCUAAGGCGGCUCUCUAGUACGGUACUGACGCUGAGACGCGAAAGCGUGGGGAGCGAACAGG